GCAUACUUAAAAAUUAAAUACAUAUAUGUAUUUAAGUAUCGAUCCCUUUUAUAAUUUAUCAAAGAAAGAGAGAAAAAGAAAAAGAGUGAUGGUAUAAAAUGGUCCUUGGAAUUUGGGACUUGUGUUCUUGCUUGCUGUGCUUCUCAUGGUAUCAUGCUCUAAUGAUUGUGCUCUUGCGUCUCCACAAGAGUUACGCCCAUCAUCAGGUUAGUCUUGACUCUUGACACAUGUAUAAUGAUUUUGAUUUUCAUUGACGGAGUUCAAAAAAUCAGUGAAAAAAUAUGCGCCAAUAUAGUUCUCCCAAAAAACCAAUAAAUCCAUCAAUUUUCUUUGGGUUUUUGUUAAAAGGUUUUCUAAUUAAAAUGCAAUGAACGUAAAUUAAAAGACUACUACUUUUAUAGCCAUAGAGAUAACGAAAGUAGUUUGAAAGAGACGAAUAAGCAUACAAAUAGUUUGACUCUGACAUAAAAAAAUUGAAAAAAUAGAGGGAAGAUCUAAAAAACGAAACUCAUUGUGAUCCUUAAUAUUGUACUAAAAGGAGCAACAAAAGAAUUUUCUUUAGUUUUUAUUGAGUUAAUUUAACUCUAGUUUUUGUUUGAUAUCAGUUAAAAAAAUCGUUUAUUUUUUUCUUUUUUGGUAUAAUUCCAGACCGCAUAAAUGGUGAGUAUUAUGGCAUCAGAGCCUCGACUCAUGUUAUGAUUGAGAGAAUCAUUGUUUAUGAAUGAUUGUUGUGAAUGUUCUGGAAAACGAUCUCUUAAUCAUGUCAAUUUCAAAUCCAAAUCCUCCAACCAUCGAUUCUCCGUUUGCAAUUUCCACUUUACCAAAAUCAAAAAGCCGUUCUUCCUCAUCUAGUAUCAAUUCUCUCUACGAAAUUGAAUACGUCCCUGGAGAUCAACUACCCGAAACCACACUCCCUCUUGUUAAUCCAUAUGAAUACUUUGCCAAAAAGCCUAGUGCUUUCUCGGUUAAAGGUGUUCGAGAACUCAUCAAGCCAUCUUCCAAUCGAAAAGUCAUGGAAUAUGUCCAGUCCAGCAAAUUCUCAUCCUGUCAAGUCCCAGCAACCGAAGAAGAACAAUUCAUCUCGCUCAACAUACCGGAGAACCUUCGUAGGUUAUGGCAACAACAAGGAUAUACUCACCUACACUUUGGUGUAGUCCGGAUCGGUUUGACCUUACAUGCUCGAAAAGGUCUACUUGUUAUAGCAAGAAUCGCCUUGGUCGAUUCAAGACUGAAAUCCUACCAACAAGCUUGCAUCGGAACAGUCCAAACAACAUUAAACGCCGGAACAGUAUUCGUGACACUGUUUCUAAACUUUAAUGUCUCGCUACAAGAUCCAAAUCUUCUGAAGACACUCAAGGUCCAACUUCAGCUCACCGGAGCUCCUAUGCAAGAGAAAAGUGUCGUGGCGACCCUUCAUCAUCAGAUAGUCUACCGAAUCCAAGAUCAUGCCUUAGAUCUUGUACUACCCUCUUCUGAUGAAGCACUUUACCUAGAAGUCACUUCAGCAUCUCAAGCACCAAACUCCAUCCAGAUUCCUCGUCAAAUAUCUCGCGAAGAGCUGCUCCGCCGACUACCAGAAUCAUGGAUCACCAGCUACGAGAAGCUGCAUCAAGCGGUUCAAACACAAAUUCAAUCCUCUGAAGUCAGCUUUCAUUCACGAAAUGAUGGUACAACCGAAAUCAAGUUCGAAAAACCAAGAUCAUCCUCAUUCCGCAAACAACUGUUCACUCAUUUUGCUAUCCAAAUUGACGAAAGGGAAUUCUAUAGUCCAGCAAAAGAACAAAAUCCUAAACCAAUCUCUUUUGGACAAAACGGAUCGGUACUAUAUCCUUUCAAAGAUGAAGAUGGACAUCAAUAUUUCGAUAUCUGUUCCUGCUCAGCAUGUGAAGAAGCCAAAUACGAAUCUGAUGACGAGAUUCGCACAAGGAGAAGAAAGAAAAAGGAUCCACUCUACAAAAGAUAUCUAGAAGGAGAUCCCACCGUCGGUCCUCUCGGUGAAGGUAACGGGCGAUACGACUUUAUAGUCCAAUAUUCGGAAAAGAAAGAUGAAAAUCAAAUCAUGAUGAUCAACACCGAAGACUUCCCUCCUUCAAGCGACUUUACCAAGGACAACAUCGCACACAGCCCAAAGAUACUCACUCGAGCAAUCAACUCUUCUGGACCAGAUCAACUAAGCCAAGGAGAAAAGGUCCUCAACUGGCAAACUGAGAAUGCCAUCGCUCAAAAUCAACUCCUCAAAACAAUAAAUCACAAGGUUGAUCAGCUGAUGGAAAAUUACAUCAAAAGGCAAACUAGCCUUCAGAGCUCAAUAACAGAGAUCCAUGGCCGGCUUAACAAUCUUCAUCAAGAAGUGAUGGCUAUGGCACAAAAUAUGAUGGUCAAUACAGCACAAUUCCGUCAUAAAGAAGCAGAGACAGCCAGCCUCAAAGCCCAGCUAAAAGAUCUUCAAAGAAGCCUCGAGAGUAUGAUUUACAAUCAGAAUCCUACGAGUUCUUAUUCCAAUCCUUUUGGUAGAAUGCCUAUGUAUCAGGGCACCUACUCCCCAGGAUUUCUCUCCGGCUAUACGAAUCAAAGACCAAAAACACCAGCCCCCGGAUUCCUAUCAUCUGACGAAGCCUUUACGUCAAGAUAUGGCAUGACCUCAGCUUGCAAGCCAAAAGUGUCAAAAUCAAAACCAAGACGACAGAAGGAUUCCGAGUUUAUGGUCAAUCCUACCAAACGACCAACACUUACUUCUUCGUCAAGCCAUGAAUCAGUGGAAGAUUCAAAAAGAGAAGGAAAAGAAAUUGGUAUAAUUAAAUACUCUAUGGCUAGUCUGUUGGAUACUAUUGGACAGACUUCUACUGCUCAAACAGCCACGGAGAUGCCGCAAACACAGCCUUCUCAACAAAUUGCAACACCAAUUGCAAAUAUCGGUCAUUAUUCGGAGACUAAUUCUAACAGUUCCGAAUCAGCUUCGGAUGAGGAAUCUCUCCCAAACCAAUUUGCCAUAGGCGACGAAAGAGGCGAACCAUCAACUCCAAAACGAGAACCUGAUAUACAUGAAAUCUAUUCAAGCGAUGAAGAUAUGGAGUACAGGCCUCCCAGGCAGCAAGAAAUACCAACAAGACCAUUUGCCUCUAAAGUCAUGGUCUUCACGUUUGAUGACAUUCCUUUCGAAAAAUGGAAUGAUCGUCUCGAUGAAUUUCAUGCAUGGAUGAAUUCUGAAGCAAUCACGUCUCCCUUAGAGCUUGUAAUUCAGCAGUUUACGGCGCGACUAUCUGGAGCACUCAAAGAAUGGUGGAAUUCACUUGGUGAAUACAGACAGCAGCAAGUCUAUCAAACAACAAUACCGCUACUUCUUGGAGAAAUUCAUAGAGAAUUUAUCGGUACACCUACACAUUUGAAAGAACAGCUUCAAGAAGAGUUCUUUACUGCGAAAUGCUGCUCAUUGAAGAAAAGAGACCUAGCUAAGCAUUUUGAGCGACAGACGCGACGUUAUUACGCUCUUAAUGGUCUCAACAAUCCAAGCCUUAAGCAGGUACAUCUCUCUUCGCUUGAUGACUACCUCAGUCAACAAACGAAGCUAUACAUAAGAGAUCAAGGCGAGACAGUGGAAGAUAUUUCCAUUGGCCAAAUACAGCAAUAUGUCUUCCGAACACUAGACAAACUCUGCAAGCAAAAGGAGUUUUGGAUGGAAUUCAUGGAUAAAUCAAAGCAACUAUCCAGGAUCUGUGCAAGACCAGAUCUAUCCAUCAAAUGUUUAAAAUCCAAGAAGACAUGUUCGUGUGAUGAUCGUAGCAAAUCACGGAGAUUCAGAAAAGCGUCUCACAAGCGUUUCAACAAAUUCAGACGCAAGCGAUUUUUCAGAAAGAAAAGAAGCUUCAAGAAAACAACGAAGUGUUUCCUAUGUCGCAAAGAAGGUCACUUUGCAAAAAACUGCCCAAACAAGUCGAAGAAAAAGAAACAGUACUUAAUCAGCUCAAUCUCAAAGAUCGCACCAGACCUCGAUUUCGACAACAAUGAUCUAGAAUCAGUACUAUCCUAUGAUAGUGAUGAACAAGAUGCCAUAUGUGGCUACUCGGAUUAUGACGCGAUGAAUAUCGAUGAAAUUGGAUCUUGUAGCGAGACAUUAAAGUUUGGAAACAGUGUCACGAAUACUGUUCCGGCUCUGAUACCAUUAAGAUAAGUACUUUAGUGGUCGAUCUCGAACUCGAUGAUAUGUUUGUCGCAGCAUCCAUAGUAUUCUCCUGGGCACUCAUAUUCUGGUGUAGGCUCUUCGUAGUCAGUCUGUGACUCUUCAUUGAUUUCAAUGUUGAACAUUUUUCCAAUUUCAUCGAUAUUAAUCGCGUCAUCCGGUAGCUGAGCGUCCUGGAAAUAUUCUGGUGGACAGUCUUGGGACAGUGGUUCCUUCUCCUUCUUGAUCUCCUUAGUAACUGGAAUGUCUUCUAUGUUUUGUUUAGACAUGGAAAACAUAACGUCUUCGUCUAGACUCAUCUGGUAAUCGAUCGGAUAGUACGACCAAUUUGGAAUGAAAGGAAUUGGGAAGGUCUGUCUGGCAUUGUUGAGACGGAAUGCAUGUGUUUGAAAGUCUUCGUAGGCUUUAACGUCGCUGAGGUUGAAAUCUGGACGAACUCCUCUCUGAUAGUCAUUGUGAUGGACAAGAGUGGGUAAUGCAUGAAUUUUGCUGGAUUUAGAGUUGAUCUGAACAGGAAGAUGGAAGAAGUAGAUCGUGUGAGGAUUGAAGAACGGAUUGAGACCUCCUUUCUUUAGUUUCUUGAAUGGUAGGCUUGUUGCUUUUGCCGAUUUUCUUAGUUUUCCGCUCCAAACAAUCAGUGGUGCGAACCAUGCUAAGAAUGUGGAGAAGCAAUCUCUUCGGUUUUGUACAGCAUUGACGUACUGGUAAAGCCAUUGGAUAUCAAAGGUGAUUCUGAUGGUGUAGACUGAGCAGAGGUACUAGAGGAAACAUAGAACUUCUUCCGGCAUUGCUGUAUUCUCGAUCCUGUAGAGAUGUGCGAACGGGUGAUCAGGGUGAAUACCCAUUGGUGCAAUGAAGUGGCAGUUGAUUCCGUAUUUGGACAGGAUGAUGGACUGGUAUUUGAAAGUCCUGUGUUGAAGAUGCUCAUCCAGAGUCCUCUUGUCUACGAGCUGGUGAGCGUCAAGAGGCAUGUUUGCGUCGAAGUCAUAGUAUUGAUUUUCCGAACUUGAGGAAGCUGAGGCGUUUGCCAUCAUAUGAACUUCUUUAGGAGGGUUUCUACUGAGCAUGUCAGCAAGAGUGUUCUUCGCAUCCUUUAUAUAGAAGGAUUCGAAGUCGUACUUCGAAAACCAUUCGCUCCAGCGCAAUAAUUGUUGAUGUGGGACCAUCUUCUGCUUGAAUUGUAACAUCUUUGGAAAAGAAGACAUAUCCAUUUCCAUGCGAAAUUUAUGUCCUACCAGAUGAAACUCGAAUUUCUCGAUAGCCUUUAUGACCGCUAGGAUUUCUUUGAAUGUAGAGUGAUAAUGCAUCUCAGAAUCUUUAAAGCGUCCGCUCUUGUAUCCACAGAUUUGACGUUUACCAUUGAUUUCUUUGAAUAAAAUGGCUCCCCAAUAUUUGUCACUUGCGUCAGUCUGCAAUAUUCGUAGGCCUGUAGAGGGAAUCUUUAAAGGUGAUAGCUUCUGUAUCUCCUUUUUUAGGCUUUUGACUGCUUCGGUUUGUUUGGUAGCCCACUGGAGUGGUCUAGUCAUUUGCGAAAGUUGCGGAAUAAAGUCGCUGAUGUAAUUAAUUACUCCAAGGAAUUGUUGGAUUUGUCUCCGCGUGAGAUUUUCGUCGGGAAAAUCGAGGAGUGCUGUAGCUAAAUGGGCUUGCAGUGUGAAUUUUCCUUCUGUGAUUUGCAUUCCAAGGAAGUCGAUGUUGGGCUGGGCUAUCGUCAUCUUUCGGGCCGAGAGCAUAAUUCUAUAUUCUUCAACUAUGCCUUGAAAUUGUCGGAGAGACCGAAUAUGCUCUUCUUCGCUUGUUGAGAAUAACAGAAUAUCGUCGAUGUAUAUUAAAGCCGUGUGGAGAAGAGGCUUAAAUAUACGAAGCAUCACUUGCUGAAAUAGCGAUGGCGCUGUCUUUAAUCCGAAAGGUAGAACAUUCCAUUGGAGAUGUCUGUUGGGUAGGCAAAAAGCUGUUUUGUAUCUUUCAUCAGGAUGAACACCAAGUUACCAGAAACCAGACUUUAAAUCAAACUUGGAAAAUAUGGUGGCUCCUUGUAGGUGUUGAAGGAGUGCCUUCUUGUUUGGUAGAGGAAACUUGACGUCUUGUAGAUAUCGGUUCAGUGGUUUGUAAUCAAUUACCAGUCUGAUUUUUCCUCUUGCUUGUUCUGCCUGGUUGUUCACAUAGAAUGCUUUACAUGCCCAAGGUGAAUUUGUUGAUGAGACAACUCCUUGUUUCACUAGUUGGUCACAUUUUUCAUUUGCUUGUGUCAAUAAUGUUGGUGGCAUGCCUGCGUGACUUGCUUUUGUCGGAGUGGUAUGGACAUUCUCCUUGAAAGGUAGAGAGACGAAGAAUUCUGAAUUCAGCCAUAGCGGUUUGUCACAUUUUUGAAGGAAGUCUGUGUGAGAGUCUGCACAUGAGACUAUUGUGAUCUCUUCUUUGAUUUUCUCGAAAUCUUGAGAUAUGACUCAUUCGACCGUGAAUAGACGUGGGAUUGUUGUAAAAGCUUUGUAGAAAGCCUUCCAUCUCAUUCCUCGUGUCUCAAUAGAUAUAUCAAAAUUCUUCUUAAAAGUGUGAUAGGAAUCCCAUCCUAAUAUCAAAUCUUUUCCUGGUGCUGAGGAUCCAAGCACUUCUGUCGUAAUCUGACAGCCUGGGAAAAGUUCGAUCGUCACCGGUUUGGAUUUGAGAUUGACCGUCAAUGAACCCGAGUUUGCUAAUCGAAAUUCUUGUUGAUGUGGUAGCCACAUAGAAAUCGGGAGAAUUUUUGGGUUCAUUAUCGUCGUAUAUGCUCCUGUGUCGAUGAACGCAAUUGCAUGAACUGGCUUCUCCUUUUGUGAUGGAUCAAAGAUCGUAACUGGCAGAUGUGGUGUUUGAAUUUCUUCUUUUUGCGGCAUACGAGUGAUUUUAAAACAGCUGUCGUUAUUGACUUCUUCUUCUGAAGAGGAGGAGUCGGAUGAGUAGUCAUAAUCCGAGUAGCCACAUAUGGCAUCUUGUUCAUCACUAUCAUAGGAUAAUACUGAUUCUAGAUCGUGGUUGUCGAAAUCGAAGUCUGGUGCGAUCUUCGAGAUUGAGCUGAUUAAGUACUGCUUCUUUUUCUUCGACUUGUUUGGGCAGUUUUUUGCGAAGUGACCUUCUUUGCGACAUAGGAAACACUUCGUUGUUUUCUUGAAGCUUCGUUUCUUUCUGAAAAAUCGCUUGAGUCUGAAUUUGUUGAAACGCUUGUGAGACGUUUUUCUGAAUCUCCGUGAUUUGCUACGAUCAUCACACGAACAUGUCUUCUUGGAUUUUGAACAUUUGAUGGAUAGAUCUGGUCUUGCACAGAUCCUGGAUAGUUGCUUUGAUUUAUCCAUGAAUUCCAUCCAAAACUCCUUUUGCUUGCAGAGUUUGUCUAGUGUUCGGAAGACAUAUUGCUGUAUUUGGCCAAUGGAAAUAUCUUCCACUGUCUGGCUUUGAUCUCUUAUGUAUAGCUUCGUUUGUUGACUGAGGUAGUCAUCAAUCGAAGAAAGAUGUACCUGCUUAAGGUUUGGAUUGUUGAGACCAUUAAGAGCGUAAUAACGUCGCGUCUGUCGCUCAAAAUGCUUAGCUAGGUCUCUUUUCUUCAAUGAGCAGCAUUUCGCAGUAAAGAACUCUUCUUGAAGCUGUUCUUUCAAAUGUGUAGGUGUACCGAUAAAUUCUCUAUGAAUAUCUCCGAGAAGUAGCGGUAUUGUUGUUUGAUAGACUUGCUGCUGUCUGUAUUCACCAAGUGAAUUCCACCAUUCUUUGAGUGCUCCAGAUAGUCGCGCCGUAAACUGUUGAAUUACAAGCUCUAAGGGAGACGUGAUUGCUUCAGAAUUCAUCCAUGCAUGAAAUUCAUCGAGACGAUCAUUCCAUUUUUCGAAAGGAAUGUCAUCAAACGUGAAGACCAUGACUUUAGAGGCAAAUGGUCUUGUUGGUAUUUCUUGCUGCAUGUGAGGCCUGUACUCCAUAUCUUCAUCGCUUGAAUAGAUUUCAUGUAUAUCAGGUUCUCGUUUUAGAGUUGAUGGUUCGCCUCUUUCGUCGCCUAUGGCAAAUUGGUUUGGGAGAGAUUCCUCAUCCGAAGCUGAUUCGGAACUGUUAGAAUUAGUCUCCGAAUAAUGACCGAUAUUUGCAAUUGGUGUUGCAAUUUAUUGAGAAGGCUGUGUUUGCGGCAUCUCCGUGGCUGUUUGAGCAGUAGAAGUCUGUCCAAUAGUAUCCAACAGACUAGCCAUAGAGAAUUCAAUUAUACCAAUUUCUUUUCCUUCUCUUUUUGAAUCUUCCACUGAUUCAUGGCUUGACGAAGAAGUAAGUGUUGGUCGUUUGGUAGGAUUGACCAUAAACUCGGAAUCCUUCUGUCGUCUUGGUUUUGAUUUUGACACCUUUGGCUUGCUAGCUGAGGUCAUGCCAUAUCUUGACGUAAAGGCUUCGUCAGAUGAUAGGAAUCCGGGGGCCGGUGUUUUUGGUCUUUGAUUCGUAUAGCCGGAGAGAAAUCCUGGGGAGUAGGUGCCCUAGUACAUAGGCAUUCCACCAAAAGGAUUGGAAUAAGAACUCGUAGGAUUCUGAUUGUAAAUCAUACUCUCGAGGCUUCUUUGAAGAACUUUUAGCUGGGCUUUGAGGCUGGCUGUCUCUGCUUCUUUAUGACGGAAUUGUGCUGUAUUGACCAUCAUAUUUUGUGCCAUAGCCAUCAUUUCUUGAUGAAGAUUGUUAAGCCGGCCAUGGAUCUCUGUUAUUGAGAUCUGAAGGCUAAUUUGCCUUUUGAUGUAAUUUUCCGUCAGCUGAUCAACCUUGUAAUUUAUUGUUUUGAGGAGUUGAUUUUGAGCGAUGGCAUUCUCAGUUUACCAGUUGAGGACCUUUUCUCCUUGGCUUAGUUGAUCUGGUCCAGAAGAAUUGAUUGCUCGAGUGAGUAUCUUCGGGGCUGUGUGCGAUGUUGUCCUUGGUAAAGUCGCUUGAAGGAGGGAAGUCUUCGGUGUUGAUCAUCAUGAUUUGAUUUUCAUCUUUCUUUUCCGAAUAUUGGACUAUAAAGUCGUAUCGCCCGUUACCUUCACCGAGAGGACCGACGGUGGGAUCUCCUUCUAGAUAUCUUUUGUAGAGUGGAUCCUUUUUCUUUCUUCUCCUUGUGCGAAUCUCGUCAUCAGAUUCGUAUUUGGCUUCUUCACAUGCUGAGCAGGAACAUAUAUCGAAAUAUUGAUGUCCAUCUUCAUCUUUGAAAGGAUAUAGUACCAAUCCGUUUUGUCCAAAAGAGAUUGGUUUAGGAUUUUUCUUUUGUUGGACUAUAGAAUUCCGUUUUGUCAAUUUGGAUAGCAAAUUGAGUGAACAGUUGUUUGCGGAAUGAGGAUGAUCUUGGUUUUUUGAACUUGAUUUCGGUUGUACCAUCAUUUCGUGAAUGAAAGCUGACUUCAGAGGAUUGAAUCGGUGUUUGAACCGCUUGAUGCAGCUUCUCGUAGCUGGUGAUCCAUGAUUCUGGUAGUCGGCGGAGCAGCUCUUCGCGAGAUAUUUGACGAGGAAUCUGGAUGGAGUUUGGUGCUUGAGAUGCUGAAGUGACUUCUAGGUAAAGUGCUUCAUCAGAAGAGGGUAGUACAAGAUCUAAGGCAUGAUCUUGGAUUCGGUAGACUAUCUGAUGAUGAAGGGUCGCCACGACACUUUUCUCUUGCAUAGGAGCUCCGGUGAGCUGAAGUUGGACCUUGAGUGUCUUCAGAAGAUUUGGAUCUUGUAGCGAGACAUUAAAGUUUGGAAACAGUGUCACGAAUACUGUUCCGGCGUUUAAUGUUGUUUGGACUGUUCCGAUGCAAGCUUGUUGGUAGGAUUUCAGUCUUGAAUCGACCAAGGCGAUUCUUGCUAUAACAGGUAGACCUUUUCGAGCAUGUAAGGUCAAACCGAUCCGGACUACACCAAAGUGUAGGUGAGUAUAUCCUUGUUGUUGCCAUAACCUACGAAGGUUCUCCGGUAUGUUGAGCGAGAUGAAUUGCUUCUUCGGUUGCUGGGACUUGACAGGAUGAGAAUUUGCUGGACUGGACAUAUUCCAUGACUUUUCGAUUGGAAGAUGGCUUGAUGAGUUCUCGAACACCUUUAACUGAGAAAGCACUAGGCUUUUUGGCAAAGUAUUCAUAUGGAUUAACAAGAGGGAGUGUGGUUUCGGGUAGCUGAUCUCUAGGGACGUAUUCAAUUUUGUAGAGAGAAUUGAUACUAGAUGAGGAAGAACGGCUUUUUAAUUUUGGUAAAGUGGAAAUUGCAAACGGAGAAUCGAUGGUUGGAGGAUUUGGAUUUGAAAUUGACAUGAUUAAGGGAUCAUUUUCCAGAACAUUCACAACAAUCAUUCAUAAACAAUGAUUCUCUCAAUCAUAACAUGAGUCGAGGCUCUGAUACCAUAAUUCUCUCAAUCAUAACAUGAGACCGCAUAAAUUGGUGGUACGGUUUCUGUUAAAUUUGGAUCGUUUAAACAAAUUACCCAUUAGCUUGACAUAGUAUGCUUAAGACCGCUUAUGACCGUCUAAAACUAAUGUUUUCGCUUAAUAAAAAUUGCUUAAUACCAACAUCUAGGCAAGAAAACAGUCUAUUACCAAAUUAGUUUAAUGGGUCUUACCGUCUUACCAAGGAUUUUCCGGCGGAAUCAGAUCCUCCAAAAUUAAAAACUAUCAGAAAUUUUUGAACAGAUUACAUGAAAAAAAAAAGUAAAAUAAACGAAAUGUCUGUAGCUUGUAGUAACGGUUAGUACUAGUGUCGUCGCUAAGUCAUAUAUUAGGUUCAAGUAUGAUAAUGAGUACAAACUAAGUAAUGCAUUUAUCCAAAAAAGGUUCUUAUACAACGUGGAACAAGUUACAACUAAAUUUCAUUUGUAACCCAAUUAUUAUAGCACGAUCCAACAUAUCUGCAAAGAUCCAACUACUAUAAGAAUAUAUUAACCGUUAUUUUUUUCGUUUGUUUGAUACUAAUCUUGAUCAUUCUUCUUAAAUACUUUCUUCGACCACUAAUCAAGAAACUUUCGGGUACGACUUUGGCUUUAUGGGCCUUGUCCUCUAGGCGAUUUAGAGGGCGGUAGAAAGAUAGGAGGUCGGGCGAUUGGAGGGGGAGGAGGAGCGGCAAGAGGAACGCAAUCCAAACGCAAUAAUAAUAUGUCAUGUCAUUAGUCUCUUUAAACAAUUAAUGUAAUAACCAACACAAUACAACAAUAUAUACAUACAUGCAGGGGCGGAGGGAGAGAGGAAGGUAUGGGGUCACAUGCCCCCUAUUCUUUUUUGUUUUUUAUUAAAUAAACCUUAAGAAAAUUGAUUUAGUAUGAUAUUUAAAUGAAUUUAUAAAAAAGUGCCCCCAAUUAAAAAAAAAUAUGCAUUUUAUUGAAAAUGCCCCCAACAAAAAAAUGUUCUAGAUCCGCCACUGCAUACAUGCAUGACACUGCCGGUUAUUACUGUAUAUGGAUGUUGUGAUCUCAUAUAAAAAAGACGCACAACUCAAUACUGAAGCAUUAGAUCAUCCUACCAUGUAUAGAAAAACAAGAGAACUAGUGUAAAUAAUGCGAGUUAAUACUUACCUUG
Molecule: long non-coding RNA, 11676 nt
Filed under: Eutrema salsugineum
Lineage: Eukaryota; Viridiplantae; Streptophyta; Magnoliopsida; Brassicales; Brassicaceae
Description: long non-coding RNA (ESAL_LNC001034)
Source: RNAcentral